This is a transfer RNA of Colletotrichum sublineola, 83 nucleotides long. It matches the Rfam family "tRNA". Rfam says of the family: Transfer RNA (tRNA) molecules are approximately 80 nucleotides in length. Their secondary structure includes four short double-helical elements and three loops (D, anti-codon, and T loops). Lineage: Eukaryota; Fungi; Ascomycota; Sordariomycetes; Glomerellales; Glomerellaceae. The record is from Rfam.
GGCCGGUUGGCCCAAUGGCAAGGCGUCUGACUACGAUAUACCGUGGAAUCAGGAGAUUGUGGGUUCGACCCCCAUGCUGGUCA